GCGGUUUCAAACUGAGCAUUUGCUGUCCUGAGGAAGGAACACACAUUUGACUAGACCGUAUCUUCUCUAAAGAUGUGCUGCGCAUCAAUUCAUCUCCUCAUUGGUGCCUUAUUUGUCUUUGCUGUUGAAAAUGAGGCAACAACAAUAAGCAGCACAGAAAUCACCACUGCUCCAGUUUCAAUGUUUAUUGACAACACCACCCUAAUCAAUGAACCAUCAGAGGGCUUUCUAGACAACUUUACCACUCCAAACUCCACUGUCGCCCUGUCAAACAUGACGGUUGGAAAUACCACGUCAGAAUCACCUACUCCUCCGCCCUCAGAACAUCCACAGACCAAGAAUUACACUACAGACAACCCUCUGAAAAAGGAUUCACAAUCAAGCACAAAAAAUAUGAUCAAAAGCACAGCAAGCAAAACAACCACAAUUCAAGCACCAAAACCUGGCAAAAGCCAUGGACCAACUUACAUAAUUAUCCUGAUUAUAGUUGUUUUGUGCCUCUCUGGGGCAGUAGUUUAUUGUUGCCUUCAAAAGAACUCCAGGAAGUACUCUGUGGACUCACAUCCCAAACAAGAAGAUGCUCAGAUCCCACUCAGCACAGUGGAUGUAGAGGUGUUUGACACCACAUCAGUCAAAGAUAUACAAACAUUCACUCCUGUCGAGUCCACCGAGCCGCUUAAGGACCCUGCGCCUGUGAAGGAAGCUGAAAAGCCUGAGGGAGGGAAAGAAUCAGCUGAUGUUAAACAAGAAAACCAACCAAAUGUAUCCAGCACUCAGGCCACAGUGAACACAAAGGAUAAAACGGAUGGGCUGACCAUAGUGGAUCUGACUGAUGGAGAACCGACGAUCUCCAACAAAACUUCAAUGGAAUCCCUAGAUGAUGCUCUCAAUGAAAACAACAGCAACAAUACAGGAGCUGAAGUCAACGGCAAUGGGCAGGAAUUAACUGAAAUCUCUAUUGAUACUUUACUUCUAAAAUAAAUCAGCCUUUUCCCAACAUUUUACAAUGAUCUCUGAACCAGACUGAUGGAUUUUUUUAAAUUGGAAGCAAAAGCUGAACUAAGUUGUAAACUACGCGAGUCAUUGUUAGAACAAUGUUGUUUGCAUAUACAGUACAUACAGUACUAUGAAAAGUCUAACAGGGCCCAGUGUACUGUGUUGAUGAUAUAAUGUAACUUUCUUUAUAAUUUUUUUCUUGUGUUUUACUCAUAUUUUGAAUUGCAUUGUGUUGUUUAAGGGUUAAAGGAAGUAUACUGUACAUACAUAAACUUAACGGAGAAACUUA
This 1285-nucleotide long non-coding RNA is filed under the name Sinocyclocheilus grahami. RNAcentral describes it as "lncRNA (ENSSGRG00000008827.1)". The record is from RNAcentral. Lineage: Eukaryota; Metazoa; Chordata; Actinopteri; Cypriniformes; Cyprinidae.